Sarcophilus harrisii (Tasmanian devil) is the source of this 2270-nucleotide long non-coding RNA. RefSeq lists it as uncharacterized. The record is from RefSeq and is a predicted model, not a curated record. Lineage: Eukaryota; Metazoa; Chordata; Mammalia; Dasyuromorphia; Dasyuridae. The transcript has 3 exons.
GUCAUUCUACUUUGUUUUAGAAAUAAAAAAGGUUUUGGUGAAUUUAGGAAUCAGAUCAGCACCUUAUAAGCAGUUUGAUAGUCAUAGGAAGAAAAUUUAAGACCCAGAAUGAAGUAUUAAGCUCUCAAAAAUAUCACUGAUAAUUUGUAUUUCCAAACAAAUCCACCAAUACUGUGACACAGAAUAAUUAAAAUUAAAUAAAGUCCUUUUGUUUCCUUACACCAUUAACGUGAGCUCAGUGGGUUUUUGUACUUUUUUUUUUCAGAUCUUUCUCAGAUACUGACUCAGUGAAGAUUUAUGAAUAUUGAUCAAAAAUGCUCCUCAGAUGAAAAUAUUACUUAGACACACAUAUCUAUGCUUACUGAUUAAACUGGAUGCUUCAUUUCUUCAAAUUUUUAGUGAAGAAAUUGUUAGUCCAGAUCUGGAUCACUCCGUCAUCAUCAAGUCUUGAUCUGGCAAUUUGCCUGGGAAGCUAUAUCCAGCAACAGGACCAAAUUUAUGCCAGUUUUUCUAAGUGCUGGUGGCAGAUAAAGUGUGUGAGCGAGGAGGAAAGCUGGUGAAUGUCUGUAAGAGCAGAAAAUGGACUGGUUUGGAGUAGCCAGUUAGAGAGCGUGGGAGACUGAAAACUCAUUUACAAAAGCUCUUCUGCCCUCAAGCAAGUCAAACUCCCUGCUGAGGAGCUGCUUUUUUUUCCUCCCUUUUGAGUCUUGUGUACCGCAUUGACCUUUCCCCUGCAUAGGUCAGUCCUCUGUUCGCCCAGGGUACACACGGCCUUCUGGGGUUUGAACGCCUCAGAAGCCUGCAGAGAAUUUCUUUUCUUCGAGGCUAAUUCCUGAGAGGAAAACCUGAAGCAAAUGUCAUGCCAGCUAAUAACCGGGCCAAUUUUUGAAGACACUUGUAUAGAUUAUGUUCGUAACAAAAUAAAAUGGAAGCAAAUAUAUUUUGGGUGUAAGUGUAAGGCCUUACAACCCAUUUAAAAAUUAGGGAUCAGAAUCUCUUCCUAGGUGAUUCUUGUGGGAAUGUUGAAUUCUCCUGGUUUUUCCCAAAGAGUCACUUAAGAUGAGAAUACCAAGCCAAAAUAUUUAAUUUAAAAGCAUUGCUUCCUUUCUGUCUCCUGCCAAAAACUUAGUUUGAAAUUCACAUGUACUGUAAUAUUCUAUUAAAUAUAUCAUUAAUGAUUGUGGAUCAAAGGCAAACCACAGAGGGUUAUGCAAAACUUCCAGAUAAUUACUUAGGUGCUUGAAAAAAAAAAAUCUUAUUCAUAAGGGUAUCAAGUUCCUCCAUGUCUGAGGGUGGGUUCAAUCAAAAAUCUUUACCAGCAGACAGAUACAUCGAAUCUAUUGCAGUACACAGAAUCUGGUAGACAGUACUUAGGAGGAAAAUGGGGAGGAAAUUCUACUUCAUUAAAAUGUAGUUACUCUAAAGGAACCUUUCCUCCUUACUUUCCCCCUUGCUCUCUUUUACACUUCAGAUCAUUUAAAAAAAAGCCUUUGAUUUCCACGGUUCCUUUCUUCUCAAGAAGCUCAAGCUUGUAAAUACCUUGUUUUCAUCUUAUUUUCACAAAUUGAGAAUGAGAGGAGAGGAAUAAUUACCUUGAGCAGUAUUUUAUAGAAUCCAAGGGCGGAGUUUAGAAUUAUAGACUGCUAGAGUUGGAAAGCAAUUGUAGAAGUCAUGUAGCCCAGCACCAACAUUUUACAAUUGAAGAACCAGAGAAUUUAUUUGCCCAAGGUGACACCACUGGUUAGUCGCAGAAUAGAGGCUAGAAUCCAACUCUUUUUACUCCCAACACAAUUCUUUCAUAAAAUCUUUAGAUUCCCAAGUCAUAUCACUAAUAUGCUAACCUGAUUUUUCUCAAUUUCUAAAUCAAGUGAUUUCUAUGAGAAAAUCUUCAUACAAAACCAGCAAAUAUGAAACACAUUUUAAAAAUAGCAGUCCUCUUAUAAAUAUACUGGCAGCAAUUAAUUUCUAUCCUUCACAGCUCUGCAAUGUCAUUAUUCUGCGGUAAAGUGGAAAGAGGGCUGGGUUUAAAGUCAGGAGUCUUAGGUUUAAAUAAAUUCUUGUUCUGUUACUUAUUACCUGUGUGACCUUGGACAGUCAUUUAACUUUUUGGGGUUAGGUUCUUCAUUGAUAAACUAAAGAUGGGGGCAAAUUAGAUCAGAAGUUCUUAAUCUUUUUCUGUGUCAUGGACCUCUUUAGCAAGUCCAGAGAAGCCUAUGAACCUCUUUUCAGAAUGAUGCUCUUAAGUAAAUAAAAUAAAAUAGAAAUAUAAA